UUUUAGCCCAGAUAGUAGUGAAAAGUUUUUGAAAUGGCUGACUAUUUUUUGUUGGUAAAAAAAAGCGACCAGCGGAAGCUCUUUUUUUGCCUUACAAAAAAAGGCGGCAAUGAAAAAACUUGAAACGAAUAGCUGGAAUAGCU
Molecule: non-coding RNA, 143 nt
Organism: Flavobacterium sp.
Lineage: Bacteria; Pseudomonadati; Bacteroidota; Flavobacteriia; Flavobacteriales; Flavobacteriaceae
Source: Rfam